This 404-nucleotide unclassified non-coding RNA is filed under the name soil metagenome. Its description in RNAcentral is "partial contains 5.8S ribosomal RNA, internal transcribed spacer 2, and large subunit ribosomal RNA". The stretch from base 1 to 121 matches the Rfam family "5.8S ribosomal RNA", at positions 35 to 154 of the family's 154-position model. The record is from RNAcentral.
GAUGAAGAACGUAGCGAAAUGCGAUAAGUAAUGUGAAUUGCAGAAUUCAGUGAAUCAUCGAAUCUUUGAACGCACCUUGCGCCCUUUGGCUAUUCCGAAGGGCAUGCCUGUUUGAGUAUCAUGAACACCUCAACUCUCAUGGGUUUGCCAUGAUGAGCUUGGACUUUGGGGGUCUUGCUGGCCUAUGGUCAGCUCCUCUCAAAUGGAUCAGCUUGCCAGUGUUUGGUGGCACCACAGGUGUGAUAACUAUCUACGCUUGUGGUUUUCCACCAGGUAACCUUCAGUGGAUGGAGGUUCGCUGGGGCUCAUAAACGUCUCUCCUCAGUGAGGACAGCUCUUUGAACGUUUGAUCUCAAAUCAGGUAAGACUACCCGCUGAACUUAAGCAUAUCAAUAAGCGGAGGA